CCGGCGCACGGGGUGAGUAACACGUAUGGAACCUGCCCUAUGCAGGGGGAUAAGCGGAAGAAAUUCCGUCUAAUACCGCAUAACACCUUUAGGAGACAUCUUCUUGGGGUCAAAGGAGGCGACUCCGGCAUAGGAUGGCCAUGCGUCGCAUUAGCUAGUCGGCGGGGUAACGGCCCACCGAGGCGACGAUGCGUAGGGGUUCUGAGAGGAAGGUCCCCCACACUGGUACUGAGACACGGACCAGACUCCUACGGGAGGCAGCAG
This 264-nucleotide ribosomal RNA is filed under the name uncultured bacterium. RNAcentral describes it as "partial 16S ribosomal RNA". It matches the Rfam family "Bacterial small subunit ribosomal RNA", at positions 95 to 354 of the family's 1533-position model. The record is from RNAcentral.